ACCAUAGCCAAGUUGGUAAGGCAGAGGUCUGCAAAACCUUUAUUCGCGAGUUCGAGUCCCGCUGGUGC
RNAcentral lists this transfer RNA (68 nucleotides) under chicken gut metagenome. It matches the Rfam family "tRNA". Rfam says of the family: Transfer RNA (tRNA) molecules are approximately 80 nucleotides in length. The record is from RNAcentral.